Molecule: transfer RNA, 74 nt
Filed under: Chryseobacterium endophyticum
Lineage: Bacteria; Pseudomonadati; Bacteroidota; Flavobacteriia; Flavobacteriales; Weeksellaceae
Also listed under: 5 other names
Description: tRNA-Thr
Rfam family: tRNA
About the family: Transfer RNA (tRNA) molecules are approximately 80 nucleotides in length. Their secondary structure includes four short double-helical elements and three loops (D, anti-codon, and T loops).
Source: RNAcentral
GCCUUCAUAGCUCAGUUGGCCAGAGCACGUGAUUUGUAAUCUCGGGGUCGUGGGUUCGAAUCCCUCUGAAGGCU